CACGCAGUAAACGAUGAAUACUAGCUGUAUGCGAUAUACUGUAUGUGGCAAAGCGAAAGCGUUAAGUAUUCCACCUGGGGAGUACGUUCGCAAGAAUGAAACUCAAAGGAAUUGACGGGGGCCCGCACAAGCGGAGGAACAUGUGGUUUAAUUCGAUGAUACGCGAGGAACCUUACCCGGGCUUGAAAUGCAGAAGACCGACGAAGAAAUUCGUUUUCCAGCAAUGGCUUCUGUGUAGGUGC
This 242-nucleotide ribosomal RNA is filed under the name uncultured bacterium. RNAcentral's name for it is "partial 16S ribosomal RNA". It matches the Rfam family "Bacterial small subunit ribosomal RNA", at positions 796 to 1041 of the family's 1533-position model. The record is from RNAcentral.